CCCCCUGCCUUGAAAGUGAUUGAACCUGGGGUGCUGCAAUUGCCCUCAUGCUCGGGGAUGCUCCAGUGCCCACAUUGCAAGCACGGCUUCACGGUAAAUGUUGAAGCCUACGAGGGAAUUUCCUUUGCAAAAAUGGUUCGGAAAGGAGUUAGUGAGAAACGGGUUGAGAAGAAACAACCCGACCCACUUCCAAUCAUUGUGCAGGACUCGAUCUAGAGGAGGCCUGAGGUUCAAAAUUUAAUUUUUCUUGGCUGGCAGGCUUCUUUCGUCUGACCCAGAGGAAACCUGUGGACUCGUUU
RNAcentral lists this long non-coding RNA (299 nucleotides) under Carica papaya (papaya). Its description in RNAcentral is "long non-coding RNA (CPAP_LNC016384)". Lineage: Eukaryota; Viridiplantae; Streptophyta; Magnoliopsida; Brassicales; Caricaceae. The record is from RNAcentral.